UUCCUUAUCCAACGCUCAUAACUCACACCAUGCACCCCUCGCGCAAAAGGUCUGCCUUUGCCUGUCUGUUAUCCCCUUCCCCUUCCUGUCCCCCACAUUGCUUUCAAGAACCACUCUUCACUGGGGCUUAGAGGAGAUGCUGCCAACCCACCCACAGUGCCAGGAGCCUGCCUGCCCGUCUCCAUCUUCCCUCCUCAACACCUCUGGGUUAUAGAUGCUGCCGGAUGCCCAGCGUUUGUGCGAAUGCUGUGGGUCCAACAAUCAGUACAAAAUUGUACUGUUUAGUACAGUAAUUGUCUGUUAUCAUUGGUUAAAAUGAUCACCAAAUGAGUGUUUUGAAGACGUGGCUGAGGACACAGUGAUGUGUACACACAGUGGAGCAGAAUCUUACAAGACUGGAAUAAAGACCAGCAUAGAAAGAAUACAGAAACCCCACUCUGGAUCCCAGACAGACUUAUCUGACCCUUCCACCAAAAGGCCUCUAUCAAGAACCCAGAGAAGAAAGAAUCAGAAGAAGGCGAGAGAAGUACUACGGAACAUGAAGAAUGUUCUCCCUUCUCCACAGGCUUCUUCGGCUACACACACACACACACACUCUCUCUCUCUCUCUCUCUCUCUCUCUCUCUCUCUCUCUCUUCUCUCUCGCGCGAGCGCUGAGAAGCUCGCCCAGAGAGCACAACAGCUGGUCUCUGAAACCCGGAACCCACCAUCACAUCACGGCAGAGAACAUGUUUCUUGCUGUGCUUGCUGUGCAGGUAUACUGUGCCUCCGUGCCCUCGUUUUGGGCCUAUGUUCUCCGUACUCCAUAUCUUCAUCCCGUGGGUGGAGAGAUGAUGUACAGAUCAGAGUCAUGACAAAUAACUCUAGUCUAGAGCUACUAGAGGGACAUGCUGAUUUUCCUCCCAUUUGACUUCCUCUGUAAUUAAAUAUGAGGAGAUGUCAGACUCUGCCCCAAUUUGUUACUUUGAAGAGAAUGCCCCCCAUGGGUUGCCUUCCCACUAGUUAUAGAACUUUUCUUUUUGAUACUCCAGAUAGAUCAGUUUCAGAUAGGCGGCCCCCACACCUUAGUAGGUUAAUGGGGGAGCUUUUAAUACUGGUUUGGGGGUACUAUAAUUAUAAUGAAACUUUUGAAAGGCCAAAAAAAAAAAACUAUGCCUCUUAAAAAAUGUCUACAAAAAUAUUGAGAUAGUGAUCAAUUGUGGGUAUCCUUAUUUCAAGAUAAAAGUCCAAGAUGGCUUAAAUGUGGCUUUAGUUAUUGGGCUUCAAUAUAUGAUCCAUAAAACACUCAGGAAAAGUUUAUGACUAUUCUAUAGCUACAUCAUUUCAAAAUUUUAGAAGAUAUUUGACCAAUAAGAAACUGAUAUAUAAUAGAUAUAGACCUGAUACAUUUAUAAAUGAGCCUAUUAUUAGAUGUCUCACUCCAAGAUGGGUGAAACCUAUUUAUGUUAGUCAUUCUUCUUUAUUUCUAAUGUUUUUUCAAAAGUAUUUAGACUUUUUGCUACAACUAAGAUGGUUCUUCUAAAAAAGCCUAAAAAAAAAUCUAAGAGCACUCCUUUGACAAUUAGAUCAUGCCUAGUUUAUCCUUACAGUAUACUCACUAGAUAGUCCUCAGAUUUAAAAAUUACUAAGUUAAAUGAUUUUAUCAAGUCAACUGUUCCAAAUGUAUUUUAACUAAUUGUGUUGAUCCUAUCUCAAUUAAAAAUCAUUCAGUUACUUUGCUUUUACAAAGACCUUCUUAUGUUAUGUUUCCUGUAGAUUUAAAAGAUGAUGUUUAUUUUGAUAAUGUAGGUCUGCAAACGCUUAAAAAAGUCAAUGAACUAAUUAGACCAAAGUGUUUUGCUUCAGCUUUAGUUUUAGACAUUAGCGCUUUAGUUAUAGACAAUAGCCAUCCUUUCCUCACUUACAGUCUCAACAGUUACAAUAGUUUCAGAUAUAAAUACUACACAUUUUGUUGAUAAUUUAAAUUAAAAAAGUUUCUUUAAUACUUACAAGACAACAAAUCAUAGGUAAAAAGUUAGAAGUAAAGCUGAUGCUUUAGAGGAUGUAGUUUUGACAUUAAGACAAGAGGUAGAAAGCCAGGUAUGGUGGUGCACGCCUGUAAUCCCAGCACUUAGGAGGCAGAGGCAGGCAGAUUUCUGAGUUCAAGGCCAGCCUGUUCUACAGAGUGAGUUCCAGGACAGCCAGGGCUACACAGAGAAAUCCUGUCUCGAGAAAAACAAAACCAAAAGACAAGAGGUAGAAAAUAUGAAAGUUCAGCUUUCUACCAAGUGCCAUGCCAGCUUUCGGUAUACCAUUACCUUACCUUAUAAUAAAAGUCACAAUUAGAAUAUUACUAAAAAACAUUUGUUGGGAAUUUAGAAAGACAAUGAUCUCACUUAUGAUAUGGCUCAAUUUCAAGCCCAAAUCUCCACUAUGAACAAAACACAUGUUAAAUCUGCUGGCAUAAGAAUUUGGCUCAGUCUAUUAGCCUUGGUUUACAGUCUUUAAACCCUGUUAGUUGGUUACAUUAGAUCAUUGUUCUCGCCGUGGCAACAGGAAUAAUUCUUCUUCUUCUCCUUAUUUUUCCAGUCAUCUUCCGACUAAUCUUUUUCUCCAUCUCUACAGCCAAAAGAAAAAUUUAUGAGCUUCAAUUAAAAAAUAAAAGAGAGAAAUGCCACACUGACCCCAAUAGAGUCUGUGUGACAACUUCCCCAGACUGAGACAUUAGACUUCAAAAGAAGGAGGUCUCCUGGAACUAGUUGUGGAACUCGAGGCCAAAAAAGAGAUAUUAAGCCAUAGUUCUCAUGAUAAUUUUUCUGUUUUGUUCUCUAUCAUUCCUUUUCUUCAUUACAGGUUCCUGAUAGCCUAGACAAUGAUCUUAAACAAAAAUAAUAGGUACGAGACCACCCCUUGAGACGGAUCACUAACACGACCUUAUCUCCAGGAAAACCAACACUUUACUUUUCAAAUCGCUUACAAAAUUAUUAUGAUAGAUAAAAACUUUCCCAACAACAAAAUUUUAUAUAGCUACAUGUGUAUGAUC
Molecule: long non-coding RNA, 3022 nt
Organism: Apodemus sylvaticus (European woodmouse)
Lineage: Eukaryota; Metazoa; Chordata; Mammalia; Rodentia; Muridae
Exons: 4
Source: RefSeq, a predicted model, not a curated record